Molecule: long non-coding RNA, 203 nt
Organism: Sander lucioperca (pikeperch)
Lineage: Eukaryota; Metazoa; Chordata; Actinopteri; Perciformes; Percidae
Exons: 3
Source: RefSeq, a predicted model, not a curated record
ACCAAGUAGUUUGCGACCGGUGUGCCAGUUUAGCUGGUGAUCAUGUUAACUGGUGAUAUUUGCAUGAAAUCAGUGAAUAUUCAACAAGGCCCUGCCCUGCGUUCUGCUCUGCCUCCGCCCCUCGAGUGCCAGAGGCUCACAUUUUCACGAAGUGUUUGCAAGUGAGACAAAAUAAUGGAUAUUGCUGACAACAUCACCAGUUU